RNAcentral lists this ribosomal RNA (119 nucleotides) under Monodon monoceros (narwhal). Lineage: Eukaryota; Metazoa; Chordata; Mammalia; Artiodactyla; Monodontidae. The record is from RNAcentral.
GUCUACGGCCGUACCACCCUGAACACGCCCGAUCUCGGCUGAUCUCGGAAACUAAGCAGGGUCGGUCCUGGUUAGUACUUGGAUGGGGGACCGCUUGGGAAUACCGGAUGCUGUAGGCU